This 270-nucleotide ribosomal RNA is filed under the name uncultured bacterium. RNAcentral describes it as "partial 16S ribosomal RNA". It matches the Rfam family "Bacterial small subunit ribosomal RNA", at positions 88 to 354 of the family's 1533-position model. The record is from RNAcentral.
CCGGCGACCGGCGCACGGGUGAGUAACACGUAUGCAACCUGCCCGUGGCAGGGGGAUAAGCGGGGGAAACCCCGUCUAAUACCGCGUAACGCGGCCUAGGGACAUCCCAAGGCCGCCAAAGGGAGCAAUCCCGGCCACGGAUGGGCAUGCGGCGCAUUAGCUAGUCGGCGGGGUAACGGCCCACCGAGGUGACGAUGCGUAGGGGUUCUGAGAGGAAGGCCCCCCACACUGGUACUGAGACACGGACCAGACUCCUACGGAAGGCAGCAG